UAUUUCAAAAAAUAUAAUCUGUUUAUUCUUUUAACAGUAUUCGAAAACUUUAAUAGACAAAAUUAGAUCAAAACAGUAAAAACGCCUAAUAAUCCAAAUCAUAUUCCAAAACUUAUAGGAAUUUCGAAUUUUCCUAAGAACGCAUGAUGAUCCCUAAAUAAUAAAACAAAAUUCUGGAACCCGAAACCUGAAUCUUAAGGUUUUAUACAGAUUUCGGACAUCAAGGUUACCAAUUUGUUUGAUUUCGAGACAACGACUAACAUUAUUUUUUUCUUUUCUUUUUCCCGAAACAGUGAUCUCAGGACAUUUAAAAGACUCGAAAAUGGCUGUGAUGGUUUUUUUAAGUUUUCAAAACUCUGUUUUCCAAAUUUCAAUCCCAGAAUAAUGGAUACGAAAACAGAACUGAUUUAUCAACAUAUGCUCUGAUACCACGUGUUGAUCAGUUCUGUUUUAGACAUAAUAGAAAACAUGAAAACAUACCCGUGAUUGUAGAACAGGCCAGCAGAGAAUCCAGAUGAAGACGCAACAAUAGAGUUUGACAUGUUUGUCAGCUUGAUCUGGUUCCUCCUUAGGAUGCAAACUAAUGAUGGUGAUGAUAAACCGAAAAGGGUAUUCGGUUAUGGAGAGAGGGGGCGAUUUCAUGAUGAUGUUAUUGUGAUUAGUGUCUAACCCUUUAACCCUCUAAUUAUCUCCUUAUAUAUGCACCCAAGAGGAAACCCUAAUUAGUUAAUAAUGGUAAUAUAGUCCAUCAACAAUUACCAACUAAUUAUUUAAUAGGUUGUUAUAUAUUUUGAUCUAUAUAAUGUAAAUGAUUAUAAUGGCUUCUAGAUUAAAUAUUACACCAUAAUAUAUUUAAUCUUAGAUUUUUAAUUAUGGAUGUUGAACCAUCUUUUGUAUAAGUGGUGGUUGCAAUUUCAACGACUAACAUGGUGA
RNAcentral lists this long non-coding RNA (933 nucleotides) under Helianthus annuus (common sunflower). Its description in RNAcentral is "hypothetical non coding rna". The record is from RNAcentral. Lineage: Eukaryota; Viridiplantae; Streptophyta; Magnoliopsida; Asterales; Asteraceae.